CCUACGGGAGGCAGCAGUGGGGAAUAUUGGGCAAUGGGCGCGAGCCUGACCCAGCAACGCAGCGUGAAGGAAGAAGGCUUUAGGGUUGUAAACUUCUUUUCUCAGGGGAGAAGAAAGUGACGGUACCUGCUGAAUAAGCCACGGCUAACUACGUGCCAGCAGCCGCGGUAAUACGGAGGUGGCAAGCGUUAUCCGGAUUUAUUGGGUGUAAAGGGAGUGUAGGCGGGAGGGUAAGUCAGAUGUGAAAACUUAGGGCUCAACCCUGAGAUUGCAUUUGAAACUGUGUUUCUUGAGUGCUGUGGAGGUAAUCGGAAUUCGGUGUGUAGCGGUGAAAUGCUUAGAUAUACGGAGGAACACCAGUGGCGAAGGCAGAUUGCUGAACAGUAACUGACGCUGAGGCGCGAAAGCGUGGGGAGCAAACAGGAUUAGAUACCCUUGUAGUC
This 443-nucleotide ribosomal RNA is filed under the name uncultured bacterium. Its description in RNAcentral is "partial 16S ribosomal RNA". It matches the Rfam family "Bacterial small subunit ribosomal RNA", at positions 338 to 795 of the family's 1533-position model. The record is from RNAcentral.